UGCAGUCGAACGGUAACAUUUCUAGCUUGCUAGAAGAUGACGAGUGGCGGACGGGUGAGUAAUGCUUGGGAACUUGCCUUUAGGAGGGGGAUAACAGUUGGAAACGACUGCUAAUACCGCAUAAUGUCUACGGACCAAAGGGGGCUUCGGCUCUCACCUAAAGAGAGGCCCAAGUGAGAUUAGCUAGUUGGUAAGGUAAAAGCUUACCAAGGCGACGAUCUCUAGCUGUUCUGAGAGGAAGAUCAGCCACACUGGGACUGAGACACGGCCCAGACUCCUACGGGAGGCAGCAGUGGGGAAUAUUGCACAAUGGGGGAAACCCUGAUGCAGCCAUGCCGCGUGUGUGAAGAAGGCCUUCGGGUUGUAAAGCACUUUCAGUUGUGAGGAAAGGUUGGUAGUUAAUACCUGCCAGCUGUGACGUUAACAACAGAAGAAGCACCGGCUAACUCCGUGCCAGCAGCCGCGGUAAUACGGAGGGUGCGAGCGUUAAUCGGAAUUACUGGGCGUAAAGCGCACGCAGGCGGUUUGUUAAGCUAGAUGUGAAAGCCCCGGGCUCAACCUGGGAUGGUCAUUUAGAACUGGCAGACUAGAGUCUUGGAGAGGGGAGUGGAAUUCCAGGUGUAGCGGUGAAAUGCGUAGAUAUCUGGAGGAACAUCAGUGGCGAAGGCGGCUCCCUGGCCAAAGACUGACGCUCAUGUGCGAAAGUGUGGGUAGCGAACAGGAUUAGAUACCCUGGUAGUCCACACCGUAAACGCUGUCUACUAGCUGUUUGUGAAUUUAAUUCGUGAGUAGCGAAGCUAACGCGAUAAGUAGACCGCCUGGGGGAGUACGGCCGCAAGGUUAAAACUCAAAUGAAUUGA
This 860-nucleotide ribosomal RNA is filed under the name Alteromonas sp. RNAcentral's name for it is "bacterial SSU rRNA". It matches the Rfam family "Bacterial small subunit ribosomal RNA", at positions 56 to 913 of the family's 1533-position model. Lineage: Bacteria; Pseudomonadati; Pseudomonadota; Gammaproteobacteria; Alteromonadales; Alteromonadaceae. The record is from RNAcentral.